This 369-nucleotide RNase P RNA is filed under the name Planctomycetota bacterium. Its description in RNAcentral is "Planctomycetes bacterium (soil metagenome) RNase P RNA component class A". It matches the Rfam family "Bacterial RNase P class A". From Rfam's summary of the family: Ribonuclease P (RNase P) is a ubiquitous endoribonuclease, found in archaea, bacteria and eukarya as well as chloroplasts and mitochondria. Its best characterised activity is the generation of mature 5'-ends of tRNAs by cleaving the 5'-leader elements of precursor-tRNAs. Cellular RNase Ps are ribonucleoproteins. Lineage: Bacteria; Pseudomonadati; Planctomycetota. The record is from RNAcentral.
CGGCGCUGCUGGACGGCCGCGUUCGCCUGGCUCCGAGAAGGAGGGCGACCGAGGAAAGUCCGGGCUCCACAGGGCAUGGUGGCUGGUAAAUCCAGCCGUCUCGCGUGGCGGCGGGACAGGGAAAGUGCAACAGAAAACAGACCGCCGGGUGGGCAACCAUCCGGUAAGGGCGAAACGGCGGGGUAAGAGCCCACCGCGGAUCCCGCGAGGGAUCUGGCAAUGUAAACCCCACCUGGAGCAAGCCCAGACCGUGGUAAUGACGCUGCCCGCGUCGCCACAGGUAGGGCGCUGGAAUGCCGGCGGCAACGCCGGUGUCGAGAGAAAUGGCCGUCCCCGACAGGACCCGGCUUACAGGCAGCGAUCCGACCA